Molecule: long non-coding RNA, 490 nt
Organism: Gallus gallus (chicken)
Lineage: Eukaryota; Metazoa; Chordata; Aves; Galliformes; Phasianidae
Source: Ensembl
UUUCCUGAUUUGGAGGGCAAAAGUCAUCUCUUGGACCUGAGUUUGUUUCGCAGCUAAUUUCCUGAGAGCUAUUACCCCCAGUACAGACCAACACACAGACAGUGUGAGGCUGACUGACAGCUCCAGUCCCAACCAGGCGAUGGGAGAAUUACUUGCUUGGCUGUGGUGCAUCCAACAGCGUGCCCUGAUCCCACAGAGCAGCCCUGGGCGGGAACCACACAAGAUAUUUUUUGGGGCCAGGAGGGACCAUUAGAUCAUCCGUUCUGGCCUCCUGCACAACACAUGCCGCAGAAUCUCAUCCAAAAAGCUUGUACUCUUAAGGGUCUGCAGCCUCGGUGUAUGAUAUCAAAACUGAAAUCAGGCCCAGCAGUGUUCUCCGCUAAACUGGGCCAAGAAGCAUAAUAAAGAUUUGGCCUUGCUAUAAAAAUGUGCCGUGCUGUACUGCUACUCUGCUUAUUCCAUGCUGGCUUCCGGGCUUCUAAUAAAGGAA